AGGGUGUUAAUGCAGAUAGCAUCAAACAAGCCUCAGAACAACUGAACAGCCGGUGGAUCGAAUUCUGCCAGUUGCUAAGUGAGAGACUUAACUGGCUGGAGUAUCAGAACAACAUCAUCGCUUUCUAUAAUCAGCUACAACAAUUGGAGCAGAUGACAACUACUGCUGAAAACUGGUUGAAAAUCCAACCCACCACCCCAUCAGAGCCAACAGCAAUUAAAAGUCAGUUAAAAAUUUGUAAGGAUGAAGUCAACCGGCUAUCAGAUCUUCAACCUCAAAUUGAACGAUUAAAAAUUCAAAGCAUAGCCCUGAAAGAGAAAGGACAAGGACCCAUGUUCCUGGAUGCAGACUUUGUGGCCUUUACAAAUCAUUUUAAGCAAGUCUUUUCUGAUGUGCAGGCCAGAGAGAAAGAGCUACAGACAAUUUUUGACACUUUGCCACCAAUGCGCUAUCAGGAGACCAUGAGUGCCAUCAGGACAUGGGUCCAGCAGUCAGAAACCAAACUCUCCAUACCUCAACUUAGUGUCACCGACUAUGAAAUCAUGGAGCAGAGACUCGGGGAAUUGCAGGCUUUACAAAGUUCUCUGCAAGAGCAACAAAGUGGCCUAUACUAUCUCAGCACCACUGUGAAAGAGAUGUCGAAGAAAGCGCCCUCUGAAAUUAGCCGGAAAUAUCAAUCAGAAUUUGAAGAAAUUGAGGGACGCUGGAAGAAGCUCUCCUCCCAGCUGGUUGAGCAUUGUCAAAAGCUAGAGGAGCAAAUGAAUAAACUCCGAAAAAUUCAGAAUCACAUACAAACCCUGAAGAAAUGGAUGGCUGAAGUUGAUGUUUUUCUGAAGGAGGAAUGGCCUGCCCUUGGGGAUUCAGAAAUUCUAAAAAAGCAGCUGAAACAGUGCAGACUUUUAGUCAGUGAUAUUCAGACAAUUCAGCCCAGUCUAAACAGUGUCAAUGAAGGUGGGCAGAAGAUAAAGAAUGAAGCAGAGCCAGAGUUUGCUUCGAGACUUGAGACAGAACUCAAAGAACUUAACACUCAGUGGGAUCACAUGUGCCAACAGGUCUAUGCCAGAAAGGAGGCCUUGAAGGGAGGUUUGGAGAAAACUGUAAGCCUCCAGAAAGAUCUAUCAGAGAUGCACGAAUGGAUGACACAAGCUGAAGAAGAGUAUCUUGAGAGAGAUUUUGAAUAUAAAACUCCAGAUGAAUUACAGAAAGCAGUUGAAGAGAUGAAGAGAGCUAAAGAAGAGGCCCAACAAAAAGAAGCGAAAGUGAAACUCCUUACUGAGUCUGUAAAUAGUGUCAUAGCUCAAGCUCCACCUGUAGCACAAGAGGCCUUAAAAAAGGAACUUGAAACUCUAACCACCAACUACCAGUGGCUCUGCACUAGGCUGAAUGGGAAAUGCAAGACUUUGGAAGAAGUUUGGGCAUGUUGGCAUGAGUUAUUGUCAUACUUGGAGAAAGCAAACAAGUGGCUAAAUGAAGUAGAAUUUAAACUUAAAACCACUGAAAACAUUCCUGGCGGAGCUGAGGAAAUCUCUGAGGUGCUAGAUUCACUUGAAAAUUUGAUGCGACAUUCAGAGGAUAACCCAAAUCAGAUUCGCAUAUUGGCACAGACCCUAACAGAUGGCGGAGUCAUGGAUGAGCUAAUCAAUGAGGAACUUGAGACAUUUAAUUCUCGUUGGAGGGAACUACAUGAAGAGGCUGUAAGGAGGCAAAAGUUGCUUGAACAGAGCAUCCAGUCUGCCCAGGAGACUGAAAAAUCCUUACACUUAAUCCAGGAGUCCCUCACAUUCAUUGACAAGCAGUUGGCAGCUUAUAUUGCAGACAAGGUGGACGCAGCUCAAAUGCCUCAGGAAGCCCAG
This 1853-nucleotide non-coding RNA is filed under the name Homo sapiens (human). The record is from RNAcentral. Lineage: Eukaryota; Metazoa; Chordata; Mammalia; Primates; Hominidae.